RNAcentral lists this long non-coding RNA (223 nucleotides) under Capsicum annuum. RNAcentral describes it as "long non-coding RNA (CANN_LNC002060)". Lineage: Eukaryota; Viridiplantae; Streptophyta; Magnoliopsida; Solanales; Solanaceae. The record is from RNAcentral.
AGAUCUUCGGGAAAGACAUCUAAAUAUUCAUUAACCACCAGGAAUGAUUCGAGACUAGGAGAUUUGGAAAUUAAAUCUUUAAUAUGUACGGGAUGAUACACAUACCCCUUAGAAAUCAUUUUUCUUGCUCGAAGGUAGGAAACAAGAUGACCCCUGAACGCUGAUGCACUACCCUUCAACUCUAGGAUGGGCUCAUUCGGGAACUGAAACUAAACUAUCCUAU